AUCUGGGCGGCGGAAUUCAGGAUGGCGAGCGUGCCUUCGCGGUACGCUGGUCGUUUGAUAUUUCCGUCGCCAAUCACCCGCAGACGUCGCGACCUGUUCGCGGUCGGUCCCUGCUCGGAGGAGCCGUGUUCGAGUUCGUUGCGUGCGCGUUUCGGCGUGUCACGCGGCGAAGACACGGAUCUCUGGCUGGCCGUCGGACAGUACGCUUAACGGUGUCCGGUGCCGUCGUCUCGUACGCGCGCGCACCGGUACCGGUCAGCGACGAAUUCUUCGGGCCUCUUUCCGACCCGUCUUGAAACACGGACCAAGGAGUCUAACAUGCGCGCGAGUCGCGGGGUGUCGAGCGUACUUCGGUGCGUUCGUUACGUUGCGAAACCCGUACAUGUCGAAGGCGUAAUGAAAGUGAAUGGGGAAGAUGGUGUUCCGAGUACACGUUCCGCGAUCGUCGGUAUCGCGGCCGGGCACCCGCAUUCCCGGGGCGUCUCAACGGCCCGUCGCUGAUGCGGACGGUCGUCUCUCGGGGCGGCCGUCGGUCGGCGAUGAACCGA
This 548-nucleotide ribosomal RNA is filed under the name Chentraspis unilobis. RNAcentral describes it as "eukaryotic LSU rRNA". The record is from RNAcentral. Lineage: Eukaryota; Metazoa; Arthropoda; Insecta; Hemiptera; Diaspididae.